RNAcentral lists this long non-coding RNA (4252 nucleotides) under Olea europaea (common olive). RNAcentral's name for it is "long non-coding RNA (OEUR_LNC001809)". The record is from RNAcentral. Lineage: Eukaryota; Viridiplantae; Streptophyta; Magnoliopsida; Lamiales; Oleaceae.
GGAUGAUAAAAUGAGGAAUUGAAGCACGCAGACAUGCUGAAGUUCCUAUGAGAAACAAUGCAAUUGUUAUACAGAAAUGAUCCAUGUAAAGCUAUAUUUAUGUUCACAAGCUUAUCGUCGUGCUUUGUACCUUCUCCUAAAAGAUGCGCAACAGAGAAAUAAAGAUUUGUAAAUAAUUGUACCCAUGUGUUGAUAUAGUUUAUAUGCUCAAUGUCCAAUGGUGGUUGCAUAUAAUGGUGCUGGGAAUUUAUAUAAUAUUUUCUUCUUGGAGUCUUCGCUGGUUUAGCUGAUGUAUUCGUUAGCAUCAGUGCAAUGUGGAUUACCAUUGGAGUAAUAUAACCUUCAAUGGUAACGUUCCCGGCGAAGAGGAAUUGUUAUUGGAGGGAUUUGUACUAUUAUGAGGUCUAUGUUGAAAAUGAAUUCGAAUCGAUAUGCUGUGGUCUGCUUUAAACUUCCGAUCAAAGACGGUACUUCUGUUUUACGUCGUCCUUGAGAACUUUGUAUGUCAAGUCAAAAAUAGAGCGAACACUGAACCCUCAGAUACAUAUUCUUCGACUUUUUUCGUCAAAAAUUAAUUUGUUUUAUAAAACUUUGCUGACUUUUGAGUUGGAUACUUAGGAUAUGCUGUCGUUACCUAAAGAUGGCAAGCCUCGACCACAAACCAUAUUCCAUCUAACAAUAACUUCCGCAAGUGUGUGAAAAUUCAUCCUCACAUCAUGCAACAUAAUUUCAUCUUAAAAUCGUGCUACAUGCCCAUGUAAAUUGACACCUAGUUUGACGUCUAUGUAGCAUGAUUUCAACGAAUGAUAAAGAUUUUAUUAAAUAUGAAUUAUGCUACACACACAUCUUGGUUGACACAUAGUUUAACGAUUUAAAGUCCAAAAGGUAUUUAGGUUUUUGUUUUAUAGAUUUUUUCAGUAUUUUUAAUUAUUUCCUCAGUUAAGUUCUUAAAUUCAGUUCCUAUAAAUAUUUUAUAUAAAGAGAAUUUAUACAGUGUAAUACUUGAAUGUUGGAUAAGUUGAUAGUUUCUCAAUUUAUUCUCUACUUCUUACCUUUUCCCCUUUUCAUCUCCUCUCUAUUUAUAAUUUGUGUUAUAGUUCUUGUGUUUUAUGUCAAUUUGAUAUCUAAGCAAGUCAUUUACCUUUAGUCAAAUAAAUUUCGUCAAGUAUUUAAAGGGCAUUCAAGUUCAAAAAACUCACUACAGCAAUCAUGACAAAAAGUCCAAAAUACACUAUCCAACAUUUUCUACACACCACACCUUUAUCCAUCGAAAAACUUUGAACCAAAAACUCUUAAGUGCUUGUUUAGUAGGGAUUUGAUUAAUUUAUUUUUUGAUCGUUAGAGAUAAAGUGGGCUCUACCUGUGAGAAAAGAAUUCAAAAAUGACGGUUGAAAUAGUGAAAUAACGAUCAAAAAAUUGAUUUUAAUCCAAUUAAAAUCUGUACCAAACAAGCACUAAAUCUGCUAUGCCUCAUUUGACAAGGCUUAGGCUUCGAACAUAGACCAUGUAACAAACUGCUAAAUAAACCUGCACAAACCCAUUCUUCAUGCUGUCAGAUAUACUAAAUAAUACUCAAUAAGACUAGAUAUCCUUCAUUCUGAGAGGAUUUCUCAUUAAAUAGAACCAAAUCAAACUAAAUAUGGUAAAAAUAAUAUAUUUGUAUACAGCACAAUAUAAUUAUAAUAUAGCUGUAAUAUUUCGUAAUCUUUAUUUAACCUUAUUAACACCCCCCUCAAAUUGAUACUGGUAAAAGCAUCAAAAGCAUCAAUUUGUAAUCUUGAACUACGACGAUGACAAUACUUUGUAUACGAAGAAAAAAUUCAAAUAAGAGCAAUCAACUAUGAAAACUAGUGACAACGAGAGACCAAGAAUAUUCCAGAUAGCUCACUCCCCCAAGAAGAAUUUUUGAAAAAAAUUCAUGAAGUUCCGACACGUAGUGAGCUCUAUCUUUUGGGAGAACUGAGUCACACAUAAUUCGUGUUUUGAAAAAAGCUAGGCCACUAUACCGGCCAAGAUUUCAGCAAUAUAUCACUGAUCAAGAUGCUGCAGUUGGAAGAAAUUCCACCGAAGAGCCUACACCAACCCAAAAAAAAAAAAAAAAAAAAAAAAAAAAAAACACACCCCCUUCCCCUCUUUAUCCAUUUUUCUUUUGAAGUGGCCUAAUAACUUUACCCUUUUCCUGUACAGUUGUGAACUGCAUUCAGUGCCAUCCACUUGAUUGUGUUGUUGCAACUAGUGGGAUUGAUAGCACCAUAAAGGCAAGAUACAAUAAGGAUUUUAGAUGGUUAAUAACUAUUAGAAGGUAUAAUAACAUGUUCAUAACUGAUGCAGAUUUGGACUCCAAGUGCUUCAGUCCCAUCCAUUGUAUCUGGUGGAGCCGCAGGACCAGAGGCUCCAAAUGUGUUAGAUGCUAUGGAAAGCAAUCAGCGCACAUUAUGCCGCACUCGUGAAACAUUUUUGUAUGUUUAGUAAAUGUUCGAAUAGCAUUUGCUGUUGUUUUCCUAUUUUACUUUGUUACAUCACUAUCAUCACCAACACGACUGUCUUCGUGGAUUUUCCACAUUGCUAGAUGUUCAUGCAUAAAUUGCUGGUCCAGUAUGAUGUUUCUCAAUGCAUUAAGGAAUUUCCAGAAUUUCUGCUAGGCUAACUUAUUUUUUAAAAUUUCUUAACCAAGAAUACAUAAAGCAAAAUUUAAUUACUGUAGUUGGGAGGACCAUUCCUUGGAUUAAGAACAUUUCUUUUCUUCUUGAAAAUUUGGUGAUCCAACGUUUACGGCUUUACCUGUCUCAUGACCAUCUUAUAUGCUUUUUAAAAUAAUAAUAAAUUUCUAAAAUCAAUAAUUCUCUUUAUUUUUGGUGAGAAAAUAUGAUCGAUAAAAAAUCUUAUUAGAACCUCUGUUCUGCUGCUUCAAAAUUGAAUUUAAUGUUAGAUUGAGAUAAACUCCCGAGGUUGUCCUCGAUUAAAUUCUUUCCCCCGUCAUAUGAAGUAUGGAUAGGUGAUUGUAAUGUUCUGGGAAAAUUUAGCUGCAUGGUUUUAUGAAAUCAGUAGAACAAUGAAGGUCAAUAAUAGCAGCAGAGGUUUAUUUAUUUAGUUUUUUAUAGAAGCUUAUAUUGUAUUUACAGCAUGAUAUGGUUUUGGCUUGUUCCGGGUCAUGUUGCAUCCAUUUCUACUGGUUGUAGUUAAUUUAUUGUUCAAUGUCACAUUAGGCCAUUUGAGAUUUUGGAGCGGUUUCGGAUGCAUGAGUUUACUGAAGGAAGUUUGCAUCCAUUUGAGUGCACACAAAGCUGAUCUUGUUUCAUGCCAUUGGUAUGGUAAAUUUAAACAGCUUGUUUCUCUUUUUGAAUAGUUUUCCAUGUAUCUAAUAAGUGCUUGCUUGGCUAAGCUUUUAAGUGCUUAGUGGUUAAAAAUGAUGAUCGACCAACUUUUAAAUGCUUAAAAGCACUACCCUAACAAUCACUAAGCAAUUACUGAAUAGUUCAUAAGUAUGUAAUCUAUCUGAAGCUAGAUAAUUAAGGGUUUUAAUUUUUGAGUUUCUAAAAUAAAUUGUUCCUUUUGACUUAUUUCCUGUAUGGCAAAUAAGAAGAAAAAAAUGAAACCCCAGUAGUUAUCUGUGUUCUCAAUGUUGUGCUACAGAGUGGCAGAGCAGAAAGGAUAAAUUGGAAGAAUCGUACGAGAAUUAUAAAUAGUGUAAAGCUUGUUUGGUAGGUGUUUAUAAUCAGUAUUUAUUAUAAUAGAUAGAAAUGAGUGGUUGAUAUAUGGUUAGUACUUGUGAGUCCUACGAAAUGUGUGGAUAGGUUUGACUGUAAGUAUGUUAAUAUUAAACACCUUCAAACAUGGAGAAACAUAGGCAGACAUAGAGUGAUGUUACUUUUGAGGGUAUGAAAUUUGCUCCUUGUUUGAAAUUAUAUUAAAGCACAAUAAUUUACGUUUUACGCUUCUAUCUGUAAAAAAUUAUCUUUCAUCUUGGUUUCAGCAGGAUGAUAAAAUGAGGAAUUGAAGCACGCAGACAUGCUGAAGUUCCUAUGAGAAACAAUGCAAUUGUUAUACAGAAAUGAUCCAUGUAAAGCUAUAUUUAUGUUCACAAGCUUAUCGUCGUGCUUUGUACCUUCUCCUAAAAGAUGCGCAACAGAGAAAUAAAGAUUUGUAAAUAAUUGUACCCAUGUGUUGAUAUAGUUUAUAUGCUCAAUGUCCAAUGGUGGUUGCAUAUAAUGGUGCUGGGAAUUUAUAUAAUAUUUUCUUCUUGGAGUCUUCG